This 328-nucleotide ribosomal RNA is filed under the name Pseudomonas putida LS46. RNAcentral's name for it is "bacterial SSU rRNA". It matches the Rfam family "Bacterial small subunit ribosomal RNA", at positions 1206 to 1533 of the family's 1533-position model. The record is from RNAcentral. Lineage: Bacteria; Pseudomonadati; Pseudomonadota; Gammaproteobacteria; Pseudomonadales; Pseudomonadaceae.
GGCCUGGGCUACACACGUGCUACAAUGGUCGGUACAGAGGGUUGCCAAGCCGCGAGGUGGAGCUAAUCUCAUAAAACCGAUCGUAGUCCGGAUCGCAGUCUGCAACUCGACUGCGUGAAGUCGGAAUCGCUAGUAAUCGCGAAUCAGAAUGUCGCGGUGAAUACGUUCCCGGGCCUUGUACACACCGCCCGUCACACCAUGGGAGUGGGUUGCACCAGAAGUAGCUAGUCUAACCUUCGGGAGGACGGUUACCACGGUGUGAUUCAUGACUGGGGUGAAGUCGUAACAAGGUAGCCGUAGGGGAACCUGCGGCUGGAUCACCUCCUUA